UACGGGGGGAGCAAGCGUUGUUCGGAUUUACUGGGCGUAAAGGGCGCGUAGGCGGCCACCGCAAGUCGGUUGUGAAAUCUCUGGGCUUAACCCAGAAAGGUCAACCGAUACUGCGGGGCUAGAGUGCAGAAGGGGCAACUGGAAUUCUCGGUGUAGCGGUGAAAUGCGUAGAUAUCGAGAGGAACACCUGCGGCGAAGGCGGGUUGCUGGGCUGACACUGACGCUGAGGCGCGAAAGCGUGGGGAGCGAACAGG
RNAcentral lists this ribosomal RNA (254 nucleotides) under uncultured bacterium. RNAcentral describes it as "partial 16S ribosomal RNA". It matches the Rfam family "Bacterial small subunit ribosomal RNA", at positions 524 to 776 of the family's 1533-position model. The record is from RNAcentral.